This 480-nucleotide ribosomal RNA is filed under the name Streptococcus sp. oral taxon 074. RNAcentral's name for it is "bacterial SSU rRNA". It matches the Rfam family "Bacterial small subunit ribosomal RNA", at positions 28 to 491 of the family's 1533-position model. The record is from RNAcentral. Lineage: Bacteria; Bacillati; Bacillota; Bacilli; Lactobacillales; Streptococcaceae.
GAUGAACGCUGGCGGCGCGCUUAAUACAUGCAAGUAGAACGCUGAAGCUUGGUGCUUGCACCGAGCGGAUGAGUUGCGAACGGGUGAGUAACGCGUAGGUAACCUGCCUGGUAGCGGGGGAUAACUAUUGGAACGAUAGCUAAUACCGCAUGACAACAGUUAUUGCAUGAUAGCUGUUUAAAAGGGGCAAUUGCUCCACUACCAGAUGGACCUGCGUUGUAUUAGCUAGUUGGUGAGGUAACGGCUCACCAAGGCGACGAUACAUAGCCGACCUGAGAGGGUGAUCGGCCACACUGGGACUGAGACACGGCCCAGACUCCUACGGGAGGCAGCAGUAGGGAAUCUUCGGCAAUGGACGGAAGUCUGACCGAGCAACGCCGCGUGAGUGAAGAAGGUUUUCGGAUCGUAAAGCUCUGUUGUAAGAGAAGAACGAGUGUGAGAGUGGAAGGUUCACACUGUGACGGUAUCUUACCAGAAAGG